This 2906-nucleotide ribosomal RNA is filed under the name Escherichia coli. RNAcentral's name for it is "23S ribosomal RNA". It matches the Rfam family "Bacterial large subunit ribosomal RNA". Lineage: Bacteria; Pseudomonadati; Pseudomonadota; Gammaproteobacteria; Enterobacterales; Enterobacteriaceae. The record is from RNAcentral.
GGUUAAGCGACUAAGCGUACACGGUGGAUGCCCUGGCAGUCAGAGGCGAUGAAGGACGUGCUAAUCUGCGAUAAGCGUCGGUAAGGUGAUAUGAACCGUUAUAACCGGCGAUUUCCGAAUGGGGAAACCCAGUGUGUUUCGACACACUAUCAUUAACUGAAUCCAUAGGUUAAUGAGGCGAACCGGGGGAACUGAAACAUCUAAGUACCCCGAGGAAAAGAAAUCAACCGAGAUUCCCCCAGUAGCGGCGAGCGAACGGGGAGCAGCCCAGAGCCUGAAUCAGUGUGUGUGUUAGUGGAAGCGUCUGGAAAGGCGCGCGAUACAGGGUGACAGCCCCGUACACAAAAAUGCACAUGCUGUGAGCUCGAUGAGUAGGGCGGGACACGUGGUAUCCUGUCUGAAUAUGGGGGGACCAUCCUCCAAGGCUAAAUACUCCUGACUGACCGAUAGUGAACCAGUACCGUGAGGGAAAGGCGAAAAGAACCCCGGCGAGGGGAGUGAAAAAGAACCUGAAACCGUGUACGUACAAGCAGUGGGAGCACGCUUAGGCGUGUGACUGCGUACCUUUUGUAUAAUGGGUCAGCGACUUAUAUUCUGUAGCAAGGUUAACCGAAUAGGGGAGCCGAAGGGAAACCGAGUCUUAACUGGGCGUUAAGUUGCAGGGUAUAGACCCGAAACCCGGUGAUCUAGCCAUGGGCAGGUUGAAGGUUGGGUAACACUAACUGGAGGACCGAACCGACUAAUGUUGAAAAAUUAGCGGAUGACUUGUGGCUGGGGGUGAAAGGCCAAUCAAACCGGGAGAUAGCUGGUUCUCCCCGAAAGCUAUUUAGGUAGCGCCUCGUGAAUUCAUCUCCGGGGGUAGAGCACUGUUUCGGCAAGGGGGUCAUCCCGACUUACCAACCCGAUGCAAACUGCGAAUACCGGAGAAUGUUAUCACGGGAGACACACGGCGGGUGCUAACGUCCGUCGUGAAGAGGGAAACAACCCAGACCGCCAGCUAAGGUCCCAAAGUCAUGGUUAAGUGGGAAACGAUGUGGGAAGGCCCAGACAGCCAGGAUGUUGGCUUAGAAGCAGCCAUCAUUUAAAGAAAGCGUAAUAGCUCACUGGUCGAGUCGGCCUGCGCGGAAGAUGUAACGGGGCUAAACCAUGCACCGAAGCUGCGGCAGCGACGCUUAUGCGUUGUUGGGUAGGGGAGCGUUCUGUAAGCCUGUGAAGGUGUGCUGUGAGGCAUGCUGGAGGUAUCAGAAGUGCGAAUGCUGACAUAAGUAACGAUAAAGCGGGUGAAAAGCCCGCUCGCCGGAAGACCAAGGGUUCCUGUCCAACGUUAAUCGGGGCAGGGUGAGUCGACCCCUAAGGCGAGGCCGAAAGGCGUAGUCGAUGGGAAACAGGUUAAUAUUCCUGUACUUGGUGUUACUGCGAAGGGGGGACGGAGAAGGCUAUGUUGGCCGGGCGACGGUUGUCCCGGUUUAAGCGUGUAGGCUGGUUUUCCAGGCAAAUCCGGAAAAUCAAGGCUGAGGCGUGAUGACGAGGCACUACGGUGCUGAAGCAACAAAUGCCCUGCUUCCAGGAAAAGCCUCUAAGCAUCAGGUAACAUCAAAUCGUACCCCAAACCGACACAGGUGGUCAGGUAGAGAAUACCAAGGCGCUUGAGAGAACUCGGGUGAAGGAACUAGGCAAAAUGGUGCCGUAACUUCGGGAGAAGGCACGCUGAUAUGUAGGUGAAGUCCCUCGCGGAUGGAGCUGAAAUCAGUCGAAGAUACCAGCUGGCUGCAACUGUUUAUUAAAAACACAGCACUGUGCAAACACGAAAGUGGACGUAUACGGUGUGACGCCUGCCCGGUGCCGGAAGGUUAAUUGAUGGGGUUAGCGGUAACGCGAAGCUCUUGAUCGAAGCCCCGGUAAACGGCGGCCGUAACUAUAACGGUCCUAAGGUAGCGAAAUUCCUUGUCGGGUAAGUUCCGACCUGCACGAAUGGCGUAAUGAUGGCCAGGCUGUCUCCACCCGAGACUCAGUGAAAUUGAACUCGCUGUGAAGAUGCAGUGUACCCGCGGCAAGACGGAAAGACCCCGUGAACCUUUACUAUAGCUUGACACUGAACAUUGAGCCUUGAUGUGUAGGAUAGGUGGGAGGCUUAGAAGUGUGGACGCCAGUCUGCAUGGAGCCGACCUUGAAAUACCACCCUUUAAUGUUUGAUGUUCUAACGUUGACCCCUAAUCGGGGUUGCGGACAGUGUCUGGUGGGUAGUUUGACUGGGGCGGUCUCCUCCUAAAGAGUAACGGAGGAGCACGAAGGUUGGCUAAUCCUGGUCGGACAUCAGGAGGUUAGUGCAAUGGCAUAAGCCAGCUUGACUGCGAGCGUGACGGCGCGAGCAGGUGCGAAAGCAGGUCAUAGUGAUCCGGUGGUUCUGAAUGGAAGGGCCAUCGCUCAACGGAUAAAAGGUACUCCGGGGAUAACAGGCUGAUACCGCCCAAGAGUUCAUAUCGACGGCGGUGUUUGGCACCUCGAUGUCGGCUCAUCACAUCCUGGGGCUGAAGUAGGUCCCAAGGGUAUGGCUGUUCGCCAUUUAAAGUGGUACGCGAGCUGGGUUUAGAACGUCGUGAGACAGUUCGGUCCCUAUCUGCCGUGGGCGCUGGAGAACUGAGGGGGGCUGCUCCUAGUACGAGAGGACCGGAGUGGACGCAUCACUGGUGUUCGGGUUGUCAUGCCAAUGGCACUGCCCGGUAGCUAAAUGCGGAAGAGAUAAGUGCUGAAAGCAUCUAAGCACGAAACUUGCCCCGAGAUGAGUUCUCCCUGACUCCUUGAGAGUCCUGAAGGAACGUUGAAGACGACGACGUUGAUAGGCCGGGUGUGUAAGCGCAGCGAUGCGUUGAGCUAACCGGUACUAAUGAACCGUGAGGCUUAACCUU